RNAcentral lists this ribosomal RNA (551 nucleotides) under uncultured Phialocephala. RNAcentral's name for it is "eukaryotic LSU rRNA". The stretch from base 205 to 358 matches the Rfam family "5.8S ribosomal RNA". Lineage: Eukaryota; Fungi; Ascomycota; Leotiomycetes; Helotiales. The record is from RNAcentral.
UCCGUAGGUGAACCUGCGGAAGGAUCAUUACAAGUGARGCUACCGAACGUUGGAAACAGCGGUUAGGAGCUUACACCCACCCGUGUCUACAUACUAUUGUUGCUUUGGCGGGCCGUGGCCUCCACUGCGGGCUCUGCUCGUGUGUGCCCGCCAGAGAACCAAACUCUGAAUGUUAGUGAUGUCUGAGUACUAUCUAAUAGUUAAAACUUUCAACAACGGAUCUCUUGGUUCUGGCAUCGAUGAAGAACGCAGCGAAAUGCGAUAAGUAAUGUGAAUUGCAGAAUUCAGUGAAUCAUCGAAUCUUUGAACGCACAUUGCGCCCUGUGGUAUUCCGCAGGGCGUGCCUGUUCGAGCGUCAUUUAACCACUCACGCCUAGCGUGGUAUUGGGGCACGCGGUCUCCGCGGCCCUCAAAAUUAGUGGCGGCGCCGGUGGGCUCUAAGCGUAGUACAUACUCCCGCUAUAGAGUUCCCCCGGUGGCUCGCCAGAACCCCCAAUUUUUACAGGUUGACCUCGGAUCAGGUAGGGAUACCCGCUGAACUUAAGCAUAUC